This is a long non-coding RNA of Eutrema salsugineum, 401 nucleotides long. RefSeq lists it as uncharacterized. The transcript has 2 exons. The record is from RefSeq and is a predicted model, not a curated record. Lineage: Eukaryota; Viridiplantae; Streptophyta; Magnoliopsida; Brassicales; Brassicaceae.
UUAUCAACAAUGUACACACUUUUCAUCUUCCAUCGAUAACCUAAUUCUUUUACAAACGGAUGAGUUGCAGACGAUUUGUGUUUCCUAUCUCAUUUAUCUGUGCCAACGAACGUUAACGCUUCGUCUCCAUUCUUAGGGUAGAUUAUAAAAUCAGGUCCUUGGUUAAUCCACCACCAACAACAACGUUUCAGUGUUUCACAAAGCGUUUUAAAGACAGGCAGUCAUGGAUUCUGCAGCUGUACUUCUCGCUAUCCAGCCGCUUAAUUUCAAGAUUUUUGAUGAGCUUAUGGGACUUUUGCAAAGAAGGCCUAUUCACCUUAGGGAAGCUCCAAAUUGUUGGAGUGGAACAUCUUUCAGUUUCUGAGAGAAACAGGUGCAAAUAAGAUGAAACGAACAAGAGG